This 76-nucleotide transfer RNA is filed under the name Ignavibacteria bacterium. RNAcentral describes it as "tRNA-Lys". It matches the Rfam family "tRNA". Rfam says of the family: Transfer RNA (tRNA) molecules are approximately 80 nucleotides in length. The record is from RNAcentral. Lineage: Bacteria; Pseudomonadati; Ignavibacteriota; Ignavibacteria.
GCACUCUUAGCUCAGUUGGUAGAGCAUCUGACUCUUAAUCAGCAGGUCGGGGGUUCGAAUCCCCCAGGGUGCACUA